This 940-nucleotide ribosomal RNA is filed under the name uncultured Bacillota bacterium. Its description in RNAcentral is "bacterial SSU rRNA". It matches the Rfam family "Bacterial small subunit ribosomal RNA", at positions 18 to 917 of the family's 1533-position model. Lineage: Bacteria; Bacillati; Bacillota. The record is from RNAcentral.
UCUGGCUCAGGACGAACGCUGGCGGCGUGCCUAAUACAUGCAAGUCGAGCGAGCUUGCCUAGAUGAUUUUAGUGCUUGCACUAAAUGAAACUAGAUACAAGCGAGCGGCGGACGGGUGAGUAACACGUGGGUAACCUGCCCAAGAGACUGGGAUAACACCUGGAAACAGAUGCUAAUACCGGAUAACAACACUAGACGCAUGUCUAGAGUUCGAAAGAUGGUUCUGCUAUCACUCUUGGAUGGACCUGCGGUGCAUUAGCUAGUUGGUAAGGUAACGGCUUACCAAGGCAAUGAUGCAUAGCCGAGUUGAGAGACUGAUCGGCCACAUUGGGACUGAGACACGGCCCAAACUCCUACGGGAGGCAGCAGUAGGGAAUCUUCCACAAUGGACGAAAGUCUGAUGGAGCAGCGCCGCGUGAGUGAAGAAGGGUUUCGGCUCGUAAAGCUCUGUUGGUAGUGAAGAAAGAUAGAGGUAGUAACUGGCCUUUAUUUGACGGUAAUUACUUAGAAAGUCACGGCUAACUACGUGCCAGCAGCCGCGGUAAUACGUAGGUGGCAAGCGUUGUCCGGAUUUAUUGGGCGUAAAGCGAGUGCAGGCGGUUCAAUAAGUCUGAUGUGAAAGCCUUCGGCUCAACCGGAGAAUUGCAUCAGAAACUGUUGAACUUGAGUGCAGAAGAGGAGAGUGGAACUCCAUGUGUAGCGGUGGAAUGCGUAGAUAUAUGGAAGAACACCAGUGGCGAAGGCGGCUCUCUGGUCUGCAACUGACGCUGAGGCUCGAAAGCAUGGGUAGCGAACAGGAUUAGAUACCCUGGUAGUCCAUGCCGUAAACGAUGAGUGCUAAGUGUCGGGAGGUUUCCGCCUCUCAGUGCUGCAGCUAACGCAUUAAGCACUCCGCCUGGGGAGUACGACCGCAAGGUUGCAACUCAAAGGAAUUGACGGA